This 303-nucleotide ribosomal RNA is filed under the name uncultured bacterium. Its description in RNAcentral is "partial 16S ribosomal RNA". It matches the Rfam family "Bacterial small subunit ribosomal RNA", at positions 507 to 807 of the family's 1533-position model. The record is from RNAcentral.
AGCAGUCGCCGCGGGAAUACGGAGGAUCCAAGCGUUAUCCGGAAUCAUUGGGUUUAAAGGGUCCGUAGGCGGUCUUGUAAGUCAGUGGUGAAAGCCCAUCGCUCAACGGUGGAACGGCCAUUGAUACUGCAGGACUUGAAUUAUUGGGAAGUAACUAGAAUAUGUAGUGUAGCGGUGAAAUGCUUAGAGAUUACAUGGAAUACCAAUUGCGAAGGCAGGUUACUACCAAUUGAUUGACGCUGAUGGACGAAAGCGUGGGUAGCGAACAGGAUUAGAUACCCGCGUAGUCCCUGUCUCUUAUAC